RNAcentral lists this ribosomal RNA (497 nucleotides) under uncultured bacterium. RNAcentral's name for it is "partial 16S ribosomal RNA". It matches the Rfam family "Bacterial small subunit ribosomal RNA", at positions 28 to 507 of the family's 1533-position model. The record is from RNAcentral.
GAUGAACGCUGGCGGCGUGCCUAAUACAUGCAAGUCGAGCGAACAGACGAGGAGCUUGCUCCUCUGACGUUAGCGGCGGACGGGUGAGUAACACGUGGAUAACCUACCUAUAAGACUGGGAUAACUUCGGGAAACCGGAGCUAAUACCGGAUAAUAUAUUGAACCGCAUGGUUCAAUAGUGGAAGACGGUUUUGCUGUCACUUAUAGAUGGAUCCGCGCCGCAUUAGCUAGUUGGUAAGGUAACGGCUUACCAAGGCAACGAUGCGUAGCCGACCUGAGAGGGUGAUCGGCCGCACUGGAACUGAGACACGGUCCAGACUCCUACGGGAGGCAGCAGUAGGGAAUCUUCCGCAAUGGGCGAAAGCCUGACGGAGCAACGCCGCGUGAGUGAUGAAGGUCUUCGGAUCGUAAAACUCUGUUAUUAGGGAAGAACAAAUGUGUAAGUAACUAUGCACGUCUUGACGGUACCUAAUCAGAAAGCCACGGCUAACUACGUG